This 301-nucleotide ribosomal RNA is filed under the name uncultured archaeon. RNAcentral's name for it is "bacterial SSU rRNA". It matches the Rfam family "Archaeal small subunit ribosomal RNA", at positions 325 to 628 of the family's 1478-position model. The record is from RNAcentral.
ACGGGGCGCAGCAGGCGCGAAACCUUCACAAUGCUCGAAAGAGUGAUGAGGGUACUCCGAGUGCCUAUGCUUUGCAUAGGCUUUUCUCUAGCGUAAAUAGUUGAAGGAAUAAGGGCUGGGCAAGACCGGUGCCAGCCGCCGCGGUAACACCGGCAGCCCAAGUGGUGACCGUUUUUAUUGGGCCUAAAGCGUUCGUAGCCGGACGGGCAAGUCUUUGGGUAAAUCCUACGUCUCAAGCGUGGGAAUUCUAAAGAUACUACCUGUCUUGAGGCCGGUAGAGGCUGGAGGUACUUCUGGGGUU